UGGGCUCGUGGGAGCUGCAGGCACACGAUUCCAUGUUGCACAGGGCUCAGAGCGUUUAUGAGGAGGGAUUACACCCUGAGGAGGGAAUGUCAAGAGCAGCUGAUUGAAACUGCAGGGGAAUUAAUUUAGGAAGGGCUCCAGCAUCAGUCUCUCCACAGUCACAAUGAGAUCCAUCCAUCUAUCCCAUUAUCUGAGGAAGCUGUCUGGAAUCCUUUUAUAGAUGAUAAAGAAAAACAGGAAAUGGAACUUUCUAGAGUGCAAUUAAUCUCAUUCUAAAGACAGUUCUAAACUAGAUGCUGGUAUAAACCACUGCUGCAGGAGCAUUGCUGAUGUUCAACUCAUCCUGAAAUAAAUGACGACAGGGAUAUAUCACAUCCUGAUUACCAGUGAUGAUACCAAAUAAAUAGGUAUCACUUGACUGUAAUGGGAGAUUCAGUACAUGGCU
Lepidothrix coronata (blue-crowned manakin) is the source of this 445-nucleotide long non-coding RNA. RefSeq lists it as uncharacterized. Lineage: Eukaryota; Metazoa; Chordata; Aves; Passeriformes; Pipridae. The record is from RefSeq and is a predicted model, not a curated record. The transcript is spliced from 4 exons.